CCUACGGGUGGCAGCAGUGGGGAAUAUUGGACAAUGGGCGAAAGCCUGAUCCAGCCAUGCCGCGUGUGUGAAGAAGGCCUUCGGGUUGUAAAGCACUUUCAGUGGGGAAGAAAGCCUUGGGGCUAAUACCCUCGAGGAAGGACAUCACCCACAGAAGAAGCACCGGCUAACUCCGUGCCAGCAGCCGCGGUAAUACGGAGGGUGUGAGCGUUAAUCGGAAUUACUGGGCGUAAAGCGCGCGUAGGCGGUCUGAUAAGCCGGUUGUGAAAGCCCCGGGCUCAACCUGGGAACGGCAUCCGGAACUGUCAGGCUAGAGUGCAGGAGAGGAAGGUAGAAUUCCCGGUGUAGCGGUGAAAUGCGUAGAGAUCGGGAGGAAUACCAGUGGCGAAGGCGGCCUUCUGGACUGACACUGACGCUGAGGUGCGAAAGCGUGGGUAGCAAACAGGAUUAGAUACCCCAGUAUC
Molecule: ribosomal RNA, 464 nt
Filed under: Vreelandella stevensii
Lineage: Bacteria; Pseudomonadati; Pseudomonadota; Gammaproteobacteria; Oceanospirillales; Halomonadaceae
Description: partial 16S ribosomal RNA
Rfam family: Bacterial small subunit ribosomal RNA
Source: RNAcentral